GGACUGUUAGCUUAGUUGGUAGAGCAGGGGACUCUUAAUCCCAAGGUCCGGGGUUCGAGUCCCCGACAGUCCACCA
RNAcentral lists this transfer RNA (76 nucleotides) under Eggerthella lenta. RNAcentral's name for it is "tRNA-Lys(ctt)". It matches the Rfam family "tRNA". From Rfam's summary of the family: Transfer RNA (tRNA) molecules are approximately 80 nucleotides in length. RNAcentral also lists the same sequence under 20 other names. The record is from RNAcentral. Lineage: Bacteria; Bacillati; Actinomycetota; Coriobacteriia; Eggerthellales; Eggerthellaceae.